RNAcentral lists this ribosomal RNA (379 nucleotides) under uncultured eukaryote. Its description in RNAcentral is "partial 18S ribosomal RNA". It matches the Rfam family "Eukaryotic small subunit ribosomal RNA", at positions 592 to 975 of the family's 1831-position model. The record is from RNAcentral.
CAAUAGCGUAUAUUAAAGUUGUUGCGGUUAAAAAGCUCGUAGUUGAAUUUCUGCUGAGAACGACCGGUCCGCCCUUUGGGUGUGUAUCUGGCUCUUUCUUGGCAUCUUCUUGGUGAACGUUGCUGCACUUGACUGUGUGGAGCGCUACCCAGGACUUUUACUUUGAGGAAAUUAGAGUGUUUCAAGCAGGCAUACGCCUUGAAUACAUUAGCAUGGAAUAAUAAGAUAGGACCUCGGUUCUAUUUUGUUGGUUUCUAGAGCUGAGGUAAUGAUUAAUAGGGAUAGUUGGGGGCAUUCGUAUUUAACUGUCAGAGGUGAAAUUCUUGGAUUUGUUAAAGACGGACUGCUGCGAAAGCAUUUGCCAAGGAUGUUUNCAUUG